ACCAGUUAUUUACACAAAACUCUAGGGGGUGUGGUAUACGGCAGGGCCAACCCCAUGGGUAAGGGCAGUGCCUGGACUCAGAUCUUAACUGCGGUACAGUGAUCAUUUAGAACAAACCCCCGAGGAGCCUUAUGGCUUUUAUAAACUGGUUACCAACGUAAUUAGAGCAGUUCAAUUAAUAUAUGUCAUACCUAUUGUAUAAGGUCUGAUUUACCAUGGCUUUCAGCAAAUCAUAAUUCAGGGCUCAAACCAUCCAGUUUAUAUGGUAUACGGUCUGUGUAUUGUAAAGUGGGACUGACACAUGGUAGGGUCUGUGUAUUGUAAAGUGGGACUGACACAUAUGGUAUAAGGUCUGUGUAUUGUAAAGUGGGACUGACACAUAUGGUAUAAGGUCUGUGUAUUGUAAAGUGGGACUGACACAUAUGGUAUAAGGUCUGUGUAUUGUAAAGUGGGACUGACACAUAUGGUAUAAGGUCUGUGUAUUGUAAAGUGGGACUGACACAUAUGGUAUAAGGUCUGUGUAUUGUAAAGUGGGACUGACACAUAUGGUAUAAGGUCUGUGUAUUGUAAAGUGGGACUGACACAUAUGGUAUAAGGUCUGUGUAUUGUAAAGUAGGACGAACACAUAUGGUAUACGGUCUGUGUAUUGUAAAGUGGGACUGACACAUAUGGUAUAAGGUCUGUGUAUUGUAAAGUGGGACUGACACAUAUGGUAUAAGGUCUGUGUAUUGUAAAGUGGGACUGACACAUAUGGUAUAAGGUCUGUGUAUUGUAAAGUGGGACUGACACAUAUGGUAUAAGGUCUGUGUAUUGUAAAGUGGGACUGACACAUAUGGUAUAAGGUCUGUGUAUUGUAAAGUGGGACUGACACAUAUGGUAUAAGGUCUGUGUAUUGUAAAGUGGGACUGACACAUAUGGUAUAAGGUCUGUGUAUUGUAAAGUGGGACUGACACAUAUGGUAUAAGGUCUGUGUAUUGUAAAGUGGGACUGACACAUAUGGUAUAAGGUCUGUGUAUUGUAAAGUGGGACUGACACAUAUGGUAUAAGGUCUGUGUAUUGUAAAGUGGGACUGACACAUAUGGUAUAAGGUCUGUGUAUUGUAAAGUGGGACUGACACAUAUGGUAUAAGGUCUGUGUAUUGUAAAGUGGGACUGACACAUAUGGUAUAAGGUCUGUGUAUUGUAAAGUGGGACUGACACAUAUGGUAUAAGGUCUGUGUAUUGUAAAGUGGGACUGACACAUAUGGUAUAAGGUCUGUGUAUUGUAAAGUGGGACUGACACAUAUGGUAUAAGGUCUGUGUAUUGUAAAGUGGGACUGACACAUAUGGUAUAAGGUCUGUUUAUUGUAAAGUGGGACUGACACAUAUGGUAUAAGGUCUGUGUAUUGUAAAGUGGGACUGACACAUAUGGUAUAAGGUCUGUGUAUUGUAAAGUGGGACUGACACAUAUGGUAUAAGGUCUGUGUAUUGUAAAGUGGGACUGACACAUAUGGUAUAAGGUCUGUGUAUUGUAAAGUGGGACUGACACAGACUUGACAAACUUUAAUGCGGUGCCAGAACAGGC
Oncorhynchus keta (chum salmon) is the source of this 1563-nucleotide long non-coding RNA. RefSeq lists it as uncharacterized. NCBI's taxonomy places the organism in Eukaryota, Metazoa, Chordata, Actinopteri, Salmoniformes, Salmonidae. The record is from RefSeq and is a predicted model, not a curated record. The transcript has 6 exons.